This 85-nucleotide transfer RNA is filed under the name marine eukaryotic metagenome. It matches the Rfam family "tRNA". Rfam says of the family: Transfer RNA (tRNA) molecules are approximately 80 nucleotides in length. Their secondary structure includes four short double-helical elements and three loops (D, anti-codon, and T loops). The record is from RNAcentral.
GAGAGGUGGCCGAGUGGUUGAAGGCGGCGGUCUUGAAAACCGCUAGGCGUUCACGCGCCUCGUGGGUUCGAAUCCCACCCUCUCC